UCCACAGGUGAGAGAGGUGAAGAAGAAGCCAAAGAUCACUGUGGCCGAGCUCCACAGGUGAGAGAGGUGAAGAAGAAGCCAAAGAUCACUGUGGCCGAGCUCCACAGGUGAGAGAGGUGAAGAAGAAGCCAAAGAUCACAGUGGCCGAGCUCCACAGGUGAGAGAGGUGAAGAAGAAGCCAAAGAUCACUGUGGCCGAGCUCCACAGGUGAGAGAGGUGAAGAAGAAGCCAAAGAUCACUGUGGCCGAGCUCCACAGGUGAGAGAGGUGAAGAAGAAGCCAAAGAUCACUGUGGCCGAGCUCCACAGGUGAGAGAGGUGAAGAAGAAGCCAAAGAUCACUGUGGCCGAGCUCCACAGGUGAGAGAGGUGAAGAAAAAGCCAAAGAUCACUGUGGCUGAGCUCCACAGGUGAGAGAGGUGAAGAAGAAGCCAAAGAUCACUGUGGCCGAGCUCCACAGGUGAGAGAGGUGAAGAAGAAGCCAAAGAUCACUGUGGCUGAGCUCCACAGGUGAGAGAGGUGAAGAAGAAGCCAAAGAUCACUGUGGCCGAGCUCCACAGGUGAGAGAGGUGAAGAAGAAGCCAAAGAUCACUGUGGCUGAGCUCCACAGGUGAGAGAGGUGAAGAAGAAGCCAAAGAUCACUGUGGCCGAGCUCCACAGGUGAGAGAGGUGAAGAAGAAGCCAAAGAUCACUGUGGCUGAGCUCCACAGGUGAGAGAGGUGAAGAAGAAGCCAAAGAUCACUGUGGCCGAGCUCCACAGGUGAGAGAGGUGAAGAAGAAGCCAAAGAUCACUGUGGCCGAGCUCCACAGGUGAGAGAGGUGAAGAAGAAGCCAAAGAUCACUGUGGCCGAGCUCCACAGGUGAGAGAGGUGAAGAAGAAGCCAAAGAUCACUGUGGCUGAGCUCCACAGGUGAGAGAGGUGAAGAAGAAGCCAAAGAUCACUGUGGCCGAGCUCCACAGGUGAGAGAGGUGAAGAAGAAGCCAAAGAUCACUGUGGCCGAGCUCCACAGGUGAGAGAGGUGAAGAAGAAGCCAAAGAUCACUGUGGCCGAGUUCCACAGG
Molecule: long non-coding RNA, 1058 nt
Organism: Nerophis ophidion (straightnose pipefish)
Lineage: Eukaryota; Metazoa; Chordata; Actinopteri; Syngnathiformes; Syngnathidae
Exons: 3
Source: RefSeq, a predicted model, not a curated record